Molecule: ribosomal RNA, 253 nt
Filed under: uncultured bacterium
Lineage: Bacteria
Description: partial 16S ribosomal RNA
Rfam family: Bacterial small subunit ribosomal RNA
Source: RNAcentral
UACGGAGGAUCCGAGCGUUCUCCGGAUUUACUGGGUUUCCAGGGUGCGUCGGCGGGCGCCUCCGUCAGCGGUGCCCGGCAGCGGCUCAACCGUUGGCCUGCCGUUGAGACUGGGCGCCUUGGAUUCGGUCGGGGCCGGCGGAAUGCGUGGUGUAGCGGUGAAAUGCUUAGAUAUCACGCGGAACGCCGAUCGCGAAGGCAGCUGGCCAGGCCGAGAUCGACGCUGAGGCACGAAAGCGUGGGGAUCAAACAGG